AUGUGAAGAACGUGGUAUGGCCGUGGGUCCCAGUAUUUGCUUCCCAGAGCACCUGCAAUCCUCGUCCUUCUUCAGCGCCUAUCCGCUGUGGUAGCUUCAGAGACAGGAGAUUCGUCCCUCGUCGUCUACUUGCAUCAGCACGAUUAACCCACGCAUUACCCCAUCAGAGCCCUUCUCCCAUCCGCUGCCCUGAUUCCAGUGAGCAGCCUCCAUUGGCACUGUAACGGAGUUCUCGUAAUGAGGAAGCAGGGACUGUAAAUAUACGUUGGGUGUGGUGAUGACGCACUCGAGCUGAGUUAUUGCAAAGUCUGAUACCCUCUCUGCGCCUCAGUCUGACUGUCACGACGUCGCGUCCUGCUGCCCAUCAUUACGCUUUCUGCUCUGGGCCGCCUUCCGUCCUCCAUUAUUUCUGUGUUGCCGUUGCUUCAGGGGAGCUGAAAACGUUUCGCCGUGACCGAAGGGCUUCACCUCACCUGGCCUCAUCUCUCCCAUCCGGGGGUAGGCGGAAUAGCAUGACGCCAGGUGUACGAUGAGCUCAGUUGACGCCACUCGCCCUGAUGGACCGUUUGAUGAGGGUUGGACCCUAACGUCUGGUUGGGCUGCAUAUCAUUCAUCCAACUCUGGCACCAAGCCACUGAGGCCCUGGUACACUCAGGUCAUUCCUGAAGUUCAGCUGUUGCAACUUCUAAUUCAAUGUUUGAAUGUACAUGACUCAUAAGGAUACAUCAAUUUCCUCAAAUACUGUUAUGAUCGGCAA
Non-coding RNA from Physcomitrium patens, 757 nucleotides. Lineage: Eukaryota; Viridiplantae; Streptophyta; Bryopsida; Funariales; Funariaceae. The record is from RefSeq and is a predicted model, not a curated record.